This is a transfer RNA of Camelus ferus (Wild Bactrian camel), 72 nucleotides long. It matches the Rfam family "tRNA". Rfam says of the family: Transfer RNA (tRNA) molecules are approximately 80 nucleotides in length. Their secondary structure includes four short double-helical elements and three loops (D, anti-codon, and T loops). Further hydrogen bonds mediate the characteristic L-shaped molecular structure. tRNAs have two regions of fundamental functional importance: the anti-codon, which is responsible for specific mRNA codon recognition, and the 3' end, to which the tRNAs corresponding amino acid is attached (by aminoacyl-tRNA synthetases). tRNAs cope with the degeneracy of the genetic code in two manners: having more than one tRNA (with a specific anti-codon) for a particular amino acid; and 'wobble' base-pairing, i.e. permitting non-standard base-pairing at the 3rd anti-codon position. The record is from Rfam. NCBI's taxonomy places the organism in Eukaryota, Metazoa, Chordata, Mammalia, Artiodactyla, Camelidae.
GUGGGUAUAGCUCAGGGGUACAGCACAUGCUUAACAUGCAUGAGGUACUGGGUUCAACCCCCAGUACCUCCA